GAAGAUGAUGUCUGCGGCCACCAAACUGUCCACUGUGAAGACAAACCAUGCAUGUUUAGUAGGCAGUGGCUCCUCUUCCCUGUGGGGAGUCCCACUGCUUCCCUGGCCUGGGUGUUCUCUGCCGUGCCUUUGGACACUUCUUCGGAAAAGCACAUGAACUCUUCGGAGUCUCCUGUUCCACUUGGUAAAUUUCCUAUAGCCACGCACUGAAAGUCCCUGCUGCCCUCCUUCCUCUGAGCUUGUGGGGCCCACAGAUCCCCUGCUCCACUUCCUGCUUCAUUUCAGCUGAUGGAUGACACUCCCUCGUUCUAAUACCAUCUGAAUGCCUGAGCAAUUACAUCUUACAACCUCAUGAAAAACACAGCAGCUUGUCACGAUGAAUGAUGUUACCGUGAAUAAUGCAGUUUUGAGUUCAAACUCCUUCUUAUUCCAAGAAUGAGUAAAUAUCCCUAUUCCCUCCCCUCCCCAUUGCAUUUGGGUUUGACAUGACAUGAAUCAUUGUGGUUUUACUCCUGGGUAGAAUUGUUUUUCUGUAUUGCAUUGCCAAUUGAUGGAAGGACAAAAAAAGGAAACUUACCAAUGAGCAGUUUCAGAUGAACUUAAAUUCUCAGAAAUCUUGAAGAAUGAAUGAACUAUAACUUUCUGAAGUUGCAAAAAUGUUCAAGUCG
Molecule: long non-coding RNA, 668 nt
Filed under: Homo sapiens (human)
Lineage: Eukaryota; Metazoa; Chordata; Mammalia; Primates; Hominidae
Description: non-protein coding LINC00649:26
Source: RNAcentral